Molecule: long non-coding RNA, 1733 nt
Organism: Oncorhynchus tshawytscha (Chinook salmon)
Lineage: Eukaryota; Metazoa; Chordata; Actinopteri; Salmoniformes; Salmonidae
Exons: 4
Source: RefSeq, a predicted model, not a curated record
AGAAAAGAAAGUGGUACAUUUCCGCGUGCCGCUUAAGUCGCCCAUUGUGAUUCGCUUGUGGGCGUGAUAGUAGCAUAUAGCAGCAUGUUCGACUGUGCGUCAAGAAUUCAGCGUAACAAGUUUGUAUGAAGGUCUGGUUAUUAAAUGGGUACAUCGUUCAAUAGUAAUAUCCUUUAAAACGCUCUGGUGACAAACAUAUUUUGCAGCCCUGUUUCCAAUUGGCCACAUGGCUGGGAGAACCUAUUAAAGUAGCUAGCUAACAACCAUGGAGGAGGGUGAAAGGAUAGCAGCCCCAACUGUCAGUGAGAGAGCAGGCUAUUCUGGAUAGGACAGGUACUUUUGUGUAGUUCCUGUCCCUAAAAGUGAGGAUGGAGAUAAUAUUAACUUAAUAUUCAGUGCGGUCUAAUUUGACUAUAAUGAAGUCUGUUUCUUGUGAGGUUCUGUCCUCAGAUAAAGAGAGCUAUGAAAGCCUGUAUACACAUGAAGAGCAGUGGUUCUCAGUCCUGGUCCUGGAGACUCAAAGAGGGCACUGCAAGGUUGGGUGACCAGGGCCAUCUGGGACUGCAUUCUGGAGGAAUUCAGGUGUGUGAUGGCUACCUGUGUUCUGCAUAACUUCAUGAGGAUGGACACGAGGACCAGGAGGGGAUCUGCAGCUCGCCGCUGUGUGCCAGAGGAGAAGUCUGCAGGAUGUUUCAAGGAUGGGGUCCAACAACGCAGCAAGAGAGGCAAUCCGUGUGCAGGAGGUCUUCACUUCCUACUUCUUCAAAGAGGGAGUUGUUCCCUGGCAACACCAUAGACUACACUAUGCACAACCAAAGGCUCUUUAAGAGCCAUUCACAUUGCAAUAAGAGUAUUUUUCCAUUUACUUAGCUAUGUCAACUGCAGUUAUUCAAUUCCCAGUUUCUCUCGCUUUGAUUUCUACUUCUCAGGUGAGGGUACUGUUUAGGUAAGGGUGUGAUGUCUGUACAAAAACAAAACAAGCUAUUUUUAUUUUAUUUUUUUAAAUCAAUAUGGGUAUUCGAAACCCUAUAACCCACAUCUACACACAUGUAUCAAUCUGAUUGUGAGAUUGUGUUGUACCAGGCUCAGGUGUAUAACUGUGGCUCCUUCCACCUUCAAAGAAUGGGCAAAAGAGCCAACCAUGGAGAAUAGCAAGACACUUGACUAUUUCUAUAACUAUGCUAUAUUGUUUGUCCUCGUGUGUUCGUUCAUGUUUUUCAGCAUAAAGUACUCUGCAGCCACUUAGUGUGGUGUGGACACCAGGUGAGGCGACACACACAGAUUCCUGUUGAACACUGUCCCUUUAACUACCUUAAUUUCUCUAAUUUUAAAUCCUCUAGGUUAUAUCAGCUGUGUUGGUGAACCCCUCCCGCAUCUGAACUGGCUACAUCGAGGGCACAGCAUGAUAAGAGAUGUUUUGAUGUGAGAGGAUGCCAACCCCCAGUCCCAUCAUCGCUACCUCACCCGCUUUUAAGAUAACCUUCGGGCUGACUAGAGACACUUAUGUAAUUGUGAUGAACUGAGAGAAUAUUUGGGUUGCACUGUGAUUCAUUAAUCAUAGGAGCAGGGGAAGGCAGCAUAUGUUCUUACCUCUUUCCCUUUUACACCUCUCUUGCCACCUUUCUUCCUCUCUUAUUAUAAUGCAUAACAGAUAUGCAUUGAAGUACAGAUUGAACUUGUAUUGAUAACACUUGGAUAAUGAACUGCUUUCAAUAAAGUGUUUCAAAUUGAAA